AAGAAUUUAGUUAAACUAUAACGUUAGCUUGUCAAGCUAAAAUUAUUACCAAAUAAUAAUUUUUA
RNAcentral lists this transfer RNA (65 nucleotides) under Coccotorus chaoi. RNAcentral describes it as "tRNA-Asp". The record is from RNAcentral. Lineage: Eukaryota; Metazoa; Arthropoda; Insecta; Coleoptera; Curculionidae.